GCCGGGCACGGUGGUGCAUGCCUGUCGUCCCAGCUACUCGGGGGGCUGAGGCUGGGAUCUUUUGAGCCCAGGAGUUCUGGGCUGUAGUGCACUAUGCCAAUCGGGUGUCCGCACUAAGUUCGGCAUCAAUACGGUGACCUCCUGGGAGCAGGGGACCACCACGUUGCCUAAGGAGGGGUGAACCGGCCCAGGUUGGAAACGGAGCAGAUCAAAACUCCCACGCUUAUCAGUAGUGGGAUCGCACCUGUGAAUAGCCACUGCACUCCAGCCUGGGCAACAUAGCGAGACCCCGUCUCU
This 297-nucleotide signal recognition particle RNA is filed under the name Cebus imitator (Panamanian white-faced capuchin). RNAcentral's name for it is "Metazoan signal recognition particle RNA (ENSCCAG00000009787.1)". It matches the Rfam family "Metazoan signal recognition particle RNA". Rfam says of the family: The signal recognition particle (SRP) is a universally conserved ribonucleoprotein. It is involved in the co-translational targeting of proteins to membranes. The record is from RNAcentral. Lineage: Eukaryota; Metazoa; Chordata; Mammalia; Primates; Cebidae.